GGCGGAUAUAGCUCAGUUGGUUAGAGUGUCAAUCUGUGACUUUGAAUGUCAAGGGUUCAAUUCCCUUUAUUCGCC
Molecule: transfer RNA, 75 nt
Filed under: Malawimonas californiana (nom. ined.)
Lineage: Eukaryota; Malawimonada; Malawimonadea; Malawimonadida; Malawimonadidae
Description: Malawimonas californiana tRNA-His
Rfam family: tRNA
About the family: Transfer RNA (tRNA) molecules are approximately 80 nucleotides in length. Their secondary structure includes four short double-helical elements and three loops (D, anti-codon, and T loops).
Source: RNAcentral